This 467-nucleotide long non-coding RNA is filed under the name Lonchura striata (white-rumped munia). Its description in RNAcentral is "domestica (Bengalese finch) lncRNA (ENSLSDG00000007753.1)". Lineage: Eukaryota; Metazoa; Chordata; Aves; Passeriformes; Estrildidae. The record is from RNAcentral.
AGAAGGCAAUCAAAGCAAAGACAUCAAGAGUUUAGCAGUUCUCUGUGAAAAUGUCCCAGAUCUUCAGAGGUUCAUAGAUCAGCUGCAUCUGACUUUAUUGGAGAGCUUUACUUUUAACAUCAAGGUGAUCAAGACAGUUAGGUGUCAGGUGUUUGUGGGUUUUUUUCUGACAUGCUAGUACUGCACUGUACUUUACUGGGAAUUUUUAACUGUGGAGAAAAUGUCAAAUAAGAUUACCUUCAAGACACACAAAAAUGGGUCUCAGCUACUCUGAGGACACCAGAAACUAUGUAAUGAUGUGAAGAAAGGACCUGCAAGCCAUGGAAUGAAGAAAAUAUCUUUGCAGGAGCAGUGUUUCUUGCAGAUCUCUGGAGAGUCAAGAAAAUGCAGUCUAGCUGCCCCAAAUGGCUUUCUGGAGAAUUAAGUAUGUCUCCUGGGGAAAUAAAGGAACACUACUGGUAAAUGCA